AGUUCUAUGGUGUAAUGGUAGCACAACAGUUUUUGGUUCUGUUUGUCUUGGUUCGAAUCCAGGUAGAACUA
RNAcentral lists this transfer RNA (71 nucleotides) under Taibaiella sp. KBW10. It matches the Rfam family "tRNA". Rfam says of the family: Transfer RNA (tRNA) molecules are approximately 80 nucleotides in length. Their secondary structure includes four short double-helical elements and three loops (D, anti-codon, and T loops). Lineage: Bacteria; Pseudomonadati; Bacteroidota; Chitinophagia; Chitinophagales; Chitinophagaceae. The record is from Rfam by way of RNAcentral.